Molecule: ribosomal RNA, 465 nt
Filed under: uncultured bacterium
Lineage: Bacteria
Description: partial 16S ribosomal RNA
Rfam family: Bacterial small subunit ribosomal RNA
Source: RNAcentral
CUACGGGGUGCUGCAGUGGGGAAUAUUGGACAAUGGGGGCAACCCUGAUCCAGCCAUGCCGCGUGUGUGAAGAAGGCCUUUUGGUUGUAAAGCACUUUAAGCAGGGAGGAGAGGCUAAUGGUCAAUACCCAUUAGAUUAGAUGUUACCUGCAGAAUAAGCACCGGCUAACUCUGUGCCAGCAGCCGCGGUAAUACAGAGGGUGCGAGCGUUGAUCGGAAUUACUGGGCGUAAAGCGAGUGUAGGUGGCUCAUUAAGUCACAUGUGAAAUCCACGGGCUUAACCUGGGAACUGCAAGGUGUACUGGUGGUGCUAGAAGAUGAGAGAGGGAAGUAGAAUUCCAGGUGUAGCGGUGAAAUGCGUAGAGAUCUGGAGGAAUACAGAUGGCGAAGGAAGCUUCCUGGCAUAAUAUUGACACUGAGAUUCGAAAGCGUGGGUAGCAAACAGGAUUAGAUACCCGAGUAGUC